AGUGAACGCUGGCGGUAGGCCUAACACAUGCAAGUCGAACGGCAGCACAGUAAGAGCUUGCCCUUACGGGUGGCGAGUGGCGGACGGGUGAGGAAUACAUCGGAAUCUACUUUUUCGUGGGGGAUAACGUAGGGAAACUUACGCUAAUACCGCAUACGACCUACGGGUGAAAGCAGGGGAUCUUCGGACCUUGCGCGAUUGAAUGAGCCGAUGUCGGAUUAGCUAGUCGGCGGGGUAAAGGCCCACCAAGGCGACGAUCCGUAGCUGGUCUGAGAGGAUGAUCAGCCACACUGGAACUGAGACACGGUCCAGACUCCUACGGGAGGCAGCAGUGGGGAAUAUUGGACAAUGGGCGCAAGCCUGAUCCAGCCAUACCGCGUGGGUGAAGAAGGCCUUCGGGUUGUAAAGCCCUUUUGUUAGGAAAGAAAAGCAGCGGGUUAAUACCCCGCUGUUCUGACGGUACCCAAAGAAUAAGCACCGGCUAACUUCGUG
This 492-nucleotide ribosomal RNA is filed under the name uncultured bacterium. RNAcentral's name for it is "partial 16S ribosomal RNA". It matches the Rfam family "Bacterial small subunit ribosomal RNA", at positions 29 to 507 of the family's 1533-position model. The record is from RNAcentral.